UGACUGUGCUAAGGUAGCGUAAUCAGUUGGCUUUUAAAUGGAGUCGAGUAUGAAUGGGUCUACGGAAACAAGCUGUCUCUUUCUGGUUUUAUUGAAAUUUCUUUAAGGGUGCAAAGUCCCUUGAUUAGAAAAAAGACGAGAAGACCCUUAGAGUUUUUAUUUAAGGUAAGAAUUUAUUUAAGUUUUUGCUGGGGCGGCAAAGAGACAAAUAGUUAACUCUCUUUUUAUUGUUUUUAGAAGACGACAAUGUUAAGAAUCAUUAAACUACCUUAGGGAUAACAGCAUAAUUAAGUUUUAGUUUGUGACCUCGAUGUUGGACUAGGAAAGCUUUUGACCAGCAGUCAAAAAGCGUGGUUCUGUUCGAACUAA
This 369-nucleotide ribosomal RNA is filed under the name Peronia sydneyensis. RNAcentral describes it as "partial large subunit ribosomal RNA". It matches the Rfam family "Archaeal large subunit ribosomal RNA", at positions 2020 to 2658 of the family's 2987-position model. Lineage: Eukaryota; Metazoa; Mollusca; Gastropoda; Systellommatophora; Onchidiidae. The record is from RNAcentral.